Molecule: regulatory RNA element, 117 nt
Organism: Thioclava sp. SK-1
Lineage: Bacteria; Pseudomonadati; Pseudomonadota; Alphaproteobacteria; Rhodobacterales; Paracoccaceae
Rfam family: ALIL pseudoknot
Source: Rfam
CGCGUAUUUUGCGAUGGCGGAGUUCGACCGCAGGUCGAAGUGAUGGUCAAGUUCAUUGAUGACCAUCGCGGUGCGCAUGGGGUCGAACCGAUCUGCGAGACACUGCCGAUUGCCCCU